RNAcentral lists this ribosomal RNA (113 nucleotides) under Periophthalmus magnuspinnatus. The record is from RNAcentral. Lineage: Eukaryota; Metazoa; Chordata; Actinopteri; Gobiiformes; Gobiidae.
UUGUGUGUGCACACUACCUUGAGAAUGCCUGAUCUCAUCAGAUCUCAGGAGCUAAGCAGUGUUGGGCCUGUUUACUACUGGAUUGGAGACUAUUGGGAAUUAGGUGCCACAGU